Molecule: ribosomal RNA, 322 nt
Filed under: uncultured Glomus
Lineage: Eukaryota; Fungi; Glomeromycota; Glomeromycetes; Glomerales; Glomeraceae
Description: SSU rRNA
Rfam family: Eukaryotic small subunit ribosomal RNA
Source: RNAcentral
AGCAGCCGCGGUAAUUCCAGCUCCAAUAGCGUAUAUUAAAGUUGUUGCAGUUAAAAAGCUCGUAGUUGAAUUUCGGAAUCAAUUUGUUGGUCGUGCCUCGGUACGUACUGGUAUUAUUGGUUUCUACCUUCUGAAGAACCUUGAUGUCAUUAAUUUGGUGUCUUGGGGAAUCAGGACCGUUACUUUGAAAAAAUUAGAGUGUUUAAAGCAAGCAUACGCUUGAAUACAUUAGCAUGGAAUAAUGAAAUAGGACGUUUGAUCCUAUUUGUUGGUUCUAGGAUCGGCGUAAUGAUUAAUAGGGAUAGUUGGGGGCAUUAGUAUU